UUGCAGGACAUCUUGGCUUCUGAGGGGCCCUCGAUGGCUAGGCCGAGGCCUCCGGUGCCAGCUCCCCUGCAAGGCAACACCCUUCUCAGCUCUGCUAGGAUCGGUCACAGGCAAUGCAUGGAAAUCAGCCUGCCACAGAACACUACCAGUGGCAAUGAACCCAGACCUUGCUACUGAACACAGGCCAAAGAAGAGUGAUCUCAGACUGCCACGGAACACAUAAAAUGGCAUAGGACCCAACGGGAUGCCACAAAACAGGCAAGGACGUAUAAUCCAGGCCUACCACAGGACACAGGCAAUGGCACAGAACCUGGGGCCCGUCACAGAAUGCCACGGAAGGGCAAUUCCACACUGCCUGGGCCAUUCCACACAGCACAGGUGAGGCCAGUCAGCUGUGGCCAUGCUGGCCCCACCUCCCCUGGACAGUACUAACGUGGCACCACUUUCUUGGCCUGGUGGAUGAUGGGCACGGAGGGGACGUGUGACGGCAAGGGCUCUGAGCGGCAGGGAGAGAACCAAGUGGCGGGAGUCACCACCCGAGGGCCUGGGGUAUGGGUGCCCAUCACAUAUGCCCCCACAACCCUUGCAAGGUGGCACCUGUCUGUAUACUUUGCUGUGGUCUCCGGACCCUCCCUGGGAUAGUAGGUGGAGAGAUGACCAGGAUGAGAUCUCUCCAGAGCUACCCCCUGCCCCCGCCCCAUGGAUAUUCUACCUAUUUUAAUGCCGGCUCCCCUCCCACCCCUGGAUUUAGUGGUUCGUUUCCCAUAAACCCUCAGCCCCGGAA
This is a long non-coding RNA of Herpailurus yagouaroundi (jaguarundi), 784 nucleotides long. RefSeq lists it as uncharacterized. The record is from RefSeq and is a predicted model, not a curated record. Lineage: Eukaryota; Metazoa; Chordata; Mammalia; Carnivora; Felidae. The transcript has 2 exons.